GACGAACGCUGGCGGCGUGCUUAACACAUGCGAGUCGAACGGAAAGGCCUGCUUUCCCUUGUGGAUUGCGGGUACUCGAGUGGCGAACGGGUGAGUAACACGUGAGUGAUCUGCCCCCAACUUGGGUAUAAGCCUGGGAAACUGGGUCUAAUUCCCGAUAGGACUGCAGGGUGGUGCCUGUGGUGGAAAACGAUUUUCUAGUGGUUGGGGAUGAGCUCGCGGCCUAUCAGCUUGUUGGUGGGGUAAUGGCCUACCAAGGCGGCGACGGGUAGCCGGCCUGAGAGGGUGGACGGCCACAUUGGGACUGAGAUACGGCCCAGACUCCUACGGGAGGCAGCAGUGGGGAAGAUUGCACAAUGGGCGGAAGCCUGAUGCAGCGACGCCGCGUGGGGGAUGACGGCCUUCGGGUUGUAAACUCCUUUCGACCGCGAGGAAGCCACCUGGUUGGAAGGGUGGUGACGGUAGUGGUAGAAGAAGCACCGGCUAACUACGUG
RNAcentral lists this ribosomal RNA (494 nucleotides) under uncultured bacterium. Its description in RNAcentral is "partial 16S ribosomal RNA". It matches the Rfam family "Bacterial small subunit ribosomal RNA", at positions 28 to 507 of the family's 1533-position model. The record is from RNAcentral.